This 589-nucleotide ribosomal RNA is filed under the name uncultured bacterium. RNAcentral describes it as "partial 16S ribosomal RNA". It matches the Rfam family "Bacterial small subunit ribosomal RNA", at positions 355 to 1375 of the family's 1533-position model. The record is from RNAcentral.
UGGGGAAUGUUGGACAAUGGGCGCAAGCCUGAUCCAGCCAUGCCGCGUGUGUGAAGAAGGCCUUAGGGUUGUAAAGCACUUUCAGUGGGGAGGAAGGGUGUUGUGUUAAUAGCACAGCAUUUUGACGUUACCCACAGAAGAAGCACCGGCUAACUCCGUGCCAGCAGCCGCGGUAAUACGGAGGGUGCAAGCGUUAAUCGGAAUUACUGGGCGUAAAGCGCACGCAGGCGGCUUUUUAAGUCGGAUGUGAAAGCCCCGGGCUCAACCUGGGAAUUGCAUCUGAUACUGGGAAGCUAGAGUAUGUGAGAGGGGGGUAGAAUUCCAAGUGUAGCGGUGAAAUGCGUAGAGAUUUGGAGGAAUACCAGUGGCGAAGGCGGCCCCCUGGCACAAUACUGACGCUCAGGUGCGAAAGCGUGGGGAGCAAAACAGGAUUAGAUACCCUGGUAGUCCACGCCGUAAAACGAUGUCUACUAGAUGUUCGUGGUCUUGUACCGUGAGUAUCGCAGCUAACGCAUUAAGUAGACCGCCUGGGGAGUACGGUCGCAAGAUUAAAAACUCAAAGGAAUUGACGGGGUCAUAGCUGUUUCCU